RNAcentral lists this ribosomal RNA (460 nucleotides) under uncultured bacterium. Its description in RNAcentral is "partial 16S ribosomal RNA". It matches the Rfam family "Bacterial small subunit ribosomal RNA", at positions 338 to 795 of the family's 1533-position model. The record is from RNAcentral.
CCUACGGGUGGCAGCAGUGAGGAAUAUUGGUCAAUGGCCGGAAGGCUGAACCAGCCAAGCCGCGUGAAGGACGAAGGUGCCAAGCAUUGUAAACUUCUUUUGUCAAGGGACAAAAUCAGGCUCGAGAGCCUGACCGAGGGUACUUGAAGAAAAAGCAUCGGCUAACUCCGUGCCAGCAGCCGCGGUAAUACGGAGGAUGCGAGCGUUAUCCGGAUUUAUUGGGUUUAAAGGGAGCGUAGAUGGGUUGUUAAGUCAGUUGUGAAAGUUUGGGGGUCAAGCGGAAAAUUGCAAUUGAUAGUGGCAGUCUUGAGGACAGUUGAGGUAGGCGGAAUGCGUGGUGUAGCGGUGAAAUGCGUAGAUAUCACGAAGAACUCCGAUUGCGGGGGGAGCUUACGAAACUGCCACUGACAUUGAUGCUCGAAAGUGUGGGUAUCAAACAGGAUUAGAUACCCUUGUAGUG